AACGCACCUUGCGCCCCUUGGUAUUCCGAGGGGCAUGCCUGUUUGAGUGUCAUUUUAUCAUCAACUCAUUAGUCUUUGAUUAGGCUUUUGGGCUUGGACUUGGGAAUUGCUGGCUUGAUCUUUAUCUAUUGAACAGUAUCUAAUACUUAAUAGAGGGUAAAGUGUAGUCGGCUGUCCUUAAAUGCAUUAGCGAGUGUUAGUCUACAUGGCACGGCCUCUUGACGUGAUAAUGAUCGUCGUGGGCUGGAAGUGUAGUGUCUGGCUUCUAAUCAUUGAUUGCGUGCAUACGGCCGAUAAAGCUGGAAGCGCAACAAAAUAUGCAUACGGCCCUUGAAGCUGGAAGCAUGACAUUUGACCUCAAAUCAGGUAGGACUACCCGCUGAACUUAA
This 389-nucleotide unclassified non-coding RNA is filed under the name uncultured Leccinum. RNAcentral describes it as "sequence contains ITS2". The stretch from base 1 to 52 matches the Rfam family "5.8S ribosomal RNA", at positions 103 to 154 of the family's 154-position model. The record is from RNAcentral. Lineage: Eukaryota; Fungi; Basidiomycota; Agaricomycetes; Boletales; Boletaceae.